Molecule: long non-coding RNA, 286 nt
Organism: Vitis vinifera (wine grape)
Lineage: Eukaryota; Viridiplantae; Streptophyta; Magnoliopsida; Vitales; Vitaceae
Exons: 2
Source: RefSeq, a predicted model, not a curated record
GCGCAUCUCAUUAUUUUUCUCCUUUUCACACAUCACAUGACUAUCUUUACAGUGUCUUGUCUUGCUUCUUCUAUCACAUUUUCUUUCAUUAAUCCUCUAAUACGCUUCCAGGACCAAUUUGCAGAAGAAGUGGACCCCUUUAUUUACUUUAUGCAGUAGUACAAGUCUUUAGCAAGUCCACUCAAAUCUCUCAUUUAGUGGAAGUGAGGCAUGGCUUGGAUUUCUCACCAACAUCUGUAAUUCUUAGAUCCGCAGGUAAUUUGGAGUGGUAACUCAAAUCUCUUCA